GUGCUUGUAGCUCAGUUGGUUAGAGCGCCUGGUUGUGGCCCAGGAGGUCGCCGGUUCGAGCCCGGUCAUGCACCCCA
Molecule: transfer RNA, 77 nt
Filed under: Lentisphaerota bacterium
Lineage: Bacteria; Pseudomonadati; Lentisphaerota
Description: Lentisphaerae bacterium (anaerobic digester metagenome) tRNA-His
Rfam family: tRNA
About the family: Transfer RNA (tRNA) molecules are approximately 80 nucleotides in length. Their secondary structure includes four short double-helical elements and three loops (D, anti-codon, and T loops).
Source: RNAcentral